GCCCUACAUACCUUGUUGAUGGAGUUAUAUACUGUUUCCGAGACCUCGAAAGCCUUAGGAAUGAUUUCCUACAUAAUACGAACCAUUCAAAAUCAAAUUCAAGCUCAUAGCUUAUAUAAUUCUUCAUUUAGACAUUUACGCAAACAACUUGUGGCCAUAAAUUUGUAGACUCUUUUGUAGAUUAAUUUUCCCCCAACAAUCAAGCCAUAUUAAGAGAGGUUUCUUAACAAAAUCAAGAACAUUUCUAUACAGGUUUCAACUAUUUCUUAAGAAUUCUUAUGGUAGAAGUUUACAAAGACCAAAGAGGAAGUUAAAUCAUACCUUAUGUGACCAGAAUUACUCAAAAUUCGAAAUUACUUCAAGGCGGAGUCUUGCUAUGAAAAGUGAAACACCGAAGAAUUCAUGAUUCCGAAGCUACCAUGGUGUUCUCCAUCUUGAGGAUGACUAAAUUGUUGUUAUGCUUGGCUAGAUGGAUGGGAGGAGUUUGAGAGGAAAUCCCUAGGUUUUUGGUUCUGUUUUGG
Molecule: long non-coding RNA, 521 nt
Filed under: Nicotiana tabacum (common tobacco)
Lineage: Eukaryota; Viridiplantae; Streptophyta; Magnoliopsida; Solanales; Solanaceae
Description: long non-coding RNA (NTAB_LNC003097)
Source: RNAcentral